This is a non-coding RNA of Bos taurus (domestic cattle), 72 nucleotides long. Lineage: Eukaryota; Metazoa; Chordata; Mammalia; Artiodactyla; Bovidae. The record is from Rfam.
UCCCUCCUGGCUCAGAGGGUGAAGAACCUGCCUGCAGUGCAGGAGACCCAGGUUCGAUCCCUGGGUUGGGAA